Nomascus leucogenys (northern white-cheeked gibbon) is the source of this 107-nucleotide small nuclear RNA. NCBI's taxonomy places the organism in Eukaryota, Metazoa, Chordata, Mammalia, Primates, Hylobatidae. The record is from Ensembl.
GUGCUCACUUCGCCAGCAUAUAUACUAAAAUUGGAACGAUACAGAGAAGGUUAGCGUGGCCCCUGUGCAAGGAUGACAUGCAAAUUCCUGAAGGGUUCCAUAUUUUU